This 253-nucleotide ribosomal RNA is filed under the name uncultured bacterium. RNAcentral's name for it is "partial 16S ribosomal RNA". It matches the Rfam family "Bacterial small subunit ribosomal RNA", at positions 524 to 776 of the family's 1533-position model. The record is from RNAcentral.
UACGAAGGUGGCAAGCGUUGUCCGGAAUUAUUGGGCGUAAAGCGCGCGCAGGCGGUCCUUUAAGUCUGAUGUGAAAGCCCACGGCUCAACCGUGGAGGGUCAUUGGAAACUGGGGGACUUGAGUGCAGGAGAGAAAAGUGGAAUUCCACGUGUAGCGGUGAAAUGCGUAGAGAUGUGGAGGAACACCAGUGGCGAAGGCGACUUUUUGGCCUGUAACUGACGCUGAGGCGCGAAAGCGUGGGGAGCAAACAGG